RNAcentral lists this transfer RNA (57 nucleotides) under Dipodomys ordii (Ord's kangaroo rat). It matches the Rfam family "tRNA", at positions 8 to 63 of the family's 71-position model. Rfam says of the family: Transfer RNA (tRNA) molecules are approximately 80 nucleotides in length. Lineage: Eukaryota; Metazoa; Chordata; Mammalia; Rodentia; Heteromyidae. The record is from Rfam by way of RNAcentral.
UGGCUCAGUGGUAGAGCGUUUGCCUUGCAUGCAUGAGGCCUUGGGUUCAAUUCCUCA